AUGAAACCUCUUAGUGGAGAAGACUCAAGGAAAUUGUUUUUUGAUAGGAUAUUUUUCUCUGAAGAAGCUUGUCCAGUUCAACUCAGACAUGUUUCAGUUGACAUUCUCAAGAAAUGUGGUGGAUUGCCACUUGCAAUCAUUAGCAUAUCUAGCCUAUUAGCAAGUGGAAGUUCCAACCAAAAGGAGAGAUGGGAACAUGUACAGAAUUCUUUGGGGUCAGUUUUGGGCACAAAUCUCACCUUGGAAGCAAUUAGACAGAUCUUGAACCUUAGCUACAAAAAUCUUCCUCACCACCUCAAGACAUGCUUCUUGUAUCUUGGUAUGUUUCCAGAGGACUCUGAAAUACUGAAGUAUGAAUUGGUAAGACUAUGGAUUUCAGAAGGCUUUGUUAGUAAAGCACAUGGACAAAGCCUAGAACAGACUGCAAUAAGCUAUUUCAAUGAGCUUAUCAACAGGAGCCUUAUUCAACCUGUAGAAAUUAAAACGGAUGGGACAGUGUUAACUUGCAAAGUGCAUGAUAUGUUGUUGGAUCUUAUCUUGUACAAGUCUGCAGAAGAGAACUUUAUCACUGUAGUAGAUAACCCAGAUUCCGUUGCAAGACAGCUUCAAAAGCCCCGUCGGAUGCUCUUCAGCUUGGAUGGUGCAACAUUGCCAGGGGUCGUCAAUAUGUCAGAAGUGAGAUCGUUUGCAAACUACAGAGGCUCCAUGCACAUACCUUCUCUGGCAGAGUUCAAGUAUCUUCGAGUUUUUAUUACUGACUUUACAUCUUUUUCUGCUGAUGACAACCGGAAAAUUGACCUGACAAGAUUGUGUGAGUUAUAUCAGCUGCGACAUAUACGGAUUCGCGGCUGUGGUAAGUGCCAGCUACCAACGCAGAUUAGAGGGCUACAAAAGUUGGUAACAUUUGAUAUAGAUGGGUCCUGUAUCCCAACUGAUAUUUUCCACCUGCCGCACUUGUUGUUUCUAAAUGCUCCAAACGUUGAAAGGCUGCCGGAGGGCAUUGGUAAAAUGACAUCCCUACAACAGCUGCAUAAUUUUCACACACUGUGCGCCUCACUUGACAGUGUCAAGGGCCUUGGAGAGCUCACCAAUCUGAGUAUUCUAUGUCUCGGAACUGGUUUUUCUGAAGAUGUGGUCAUAGAUGCUCUAAACUCUUCUUUGGGAAAACUUUGUAACCUCGAGUGGCUGCACAUAUUCACACCUUCUGUUUCUUUUAUACCUGAGACAGUAACCUUGUCGUCUCCUCCCCCCAACCUCGUUACACUCUACGUGUUUCGAUGCUUCAGGGUCCCUAUCUGGAUCAAGGAACUCCAUAACCUCCGGUCCUUGGAUCUCACUGUUAGGACACUGGACAAGGAUGGUGUUGGUAUUCUUGCGGAGUUACCAUCCCUUAUCGACGUGGAAUUAAAAUUUAGUAGAGCCCUGGAAGAAACAAUUGCCAUCUAUGGGACAGCAUUCCCAAUCCUAAAAAGGUUUGAUAUCAGUGGGGGUAUCAUGCCACAACUAAUCUUCCAAGCUGGGGCAAUGCCUAAGCUCCAGAGACUCGAUCUAUCAUGGAUGAAGGACGAGAGCGCCACACCUACAGGUAUCGAGCACUUGUUAGCGCUUGAAAGAAUCGGUGUAAGAUUCCGGAGUAGUACUGAAUCUGAAAAGAGAAGCGCGGAGUCAGCCAUCAGGAGCGCUAUCAGCAUGCAUCCCAACCAUGCUCACAUUACAAUCGAUGUAUGA
RNAcentral lists this ribosomal RNA (1728 nucleotides) under Triticum aestivum (bread wheat). RNAcentral describes it as "partial small subunit ribosomal RNA". Lineage: Eukaryota; Viridiplantae; Streptophyta; Magnoliopsida; Poales; Poaceae. The record is from RNAcentral.